AAGGGUAUAGCUCAAGUGGUAGAGCAUAUGCUUAGCAUACACAAGGUCCUGGGUUCAAUCCCUAGUAUCUCUU
This 73-nucleotide transfer RNA is filed under the name Camelus bactrianus (Bactrian camel). It matches the Rfam family "tRNA". From Rfam's summary of the family: Transfer RNA (tRNA) molecules are approximately 80 nucleotides in length. RNAcentral also lists the same sequence under 2 other names. Lineage: Eukaryota; Metazoa; Chordata; Mammalia; Artiodactyla; Camelidae. The record is from Rfam by way of RNAcentral.